Molecule: ribosomal RNA, 441 nt
Filed under: uncultured bacterium
Lineage: Bacteria
Description: partial 16S ribosomal RNA
Rfam family: Bacterial small subunit ribosomal RNA
Source: RNAcentral
CCUACGGGAGGCAGCAGUGGGGAAUAUUGCACAAUGGGGGAAACCCUGAUGCAGCGACGCCGCGUGAGUGAAGAAGUAUUUCGGUAUGUAAAGCUCUAUCAGCAGGGAAGAAAAAAGACGGUAUCUGACUAUGAAGCCCCGGCUAACUACGUGCCAGCAGCCGCGGUAAUACGUGGGGGGCAAGCGUUAUUCGGAAUUACUGGGUGUAAAGGGAGCGUAGACGGUGGGGUAAGUCAGAAGUGAAAGGCACGGGCUUAACCCCUGAACUGCUUUGGAUACUGGCAUGCUAGAGUGCUGGAGAGGUAAGUGGAAUUCCUAGUGUAGCGGUGAAAUGCGUAGAUAUUAGGAGGAACACCAGUGGCGAAGGCGGCUUACUGGACAGUAACUGACGUUGAGGCGCGAAAGCGUGGGGAGCAAACAGGAUUAGAUACCCUGGUAGUC